Molecule: ribosomal RNA, 469 nt
Filed under: Prevotella micans
Lineage: Bacteria; Pseudomonadati; Bacteroidota; Bacteroidia; Bacteroidales; Prevotellaceae
Description: bacterial SSU rRNA
Rfam family: Bacterial small subunit ribosomal RNA
Source: RNAcentral
GAUGAACGCUAGCUACAGGCUUAACACAUGCAAGUCGAGGGGCAGCAUAAUUAUUGCUUGCAAUAAUUGAUGGCGACCGGCGCACGGGUGAGUAUCGCGUAUCCAACUUUCCCAUAACUAGGGGAUAAUCCGUCGAAAGGCGGUCUAAUACUCUAUGUUGUCUAUUUAUGGCCUCAUAUUUAGACGAAAGAUUUAUCGGUUAUGGUUAGGGAUGCGUCCGAUUAGGUAGUAGGCGGGGUAACAGCCCACCUAGCCAACGAUCGGUAGGGGUUCUGCGAGGAAGGUCCCCCACAUUGGAACUGAGACACAGUCCAAACUCCUACGGGAGGCAGCAGUGAGGAAUAUUGGUCAAUGGACGAGAGUCUGAACCAGCCAAGUAGCGUGCAGGAUGACGGCCCUAUGGGUUGUAAACUGCUUUUAUGCGGGAAUAAAGUGAUUUACGUGUAUAUCAGGGCAUGUACCGCAUGAU